This is a long non-coding RNA of Manis pentadactyla (Chinese pangolin), 568 nucleotides long. RefSeq lists it as uncharacterized. Lineage: Eukaryota; Metazoa; Chordata; Mammalia; Pholidota; Manidae. The transcript has 3 exons. The record is from RefSeq and is a predicted model, not a curated record.
CAGUGGAUGUACCAAACUUAAUUGUUGUCUUACUUUAAGAAAUUGCCAGAGCCACCAAUCUUCACAACCACCACCCUCAACAGCAGUCAUCAACAUCAAGGCCAUACCCUCCAGCAGCAAAAAGAUGAUGACUCCCUGAAAGCUCAGACGGUGAUUAGCGCCUCACAGCAAUAAAGAAUUUUUUAAUUAAGGAUGGUUGGAGACAUAAAAAUGUACGUACAUAUUCUGUAAAAGAUCACAUAAAUAGUUAAUGUUUGUGUUAUGCUAAUCCACCUCUCUGCCUCAACCUUCUCAACCACGGAUAACUGCCUAACAGCAACAGCUGGAGCUCUUUUUCUGCUUAUUAAACAAAAGAUACCAAAAUGAAAUCAACUUCUUAAGAGACCAGCUACAUUUAAAAAACAGUGGAGUGAGAAACAAAGAUAAUAAAAUGUUGAUGGUUUUUGAUGCAAUUAUGAGUCUGUGAGGGUCUCACUUUCUCUCUACUUUCGUUUAUGUUUGGAAAUUUUCAUUAGUGAAAUAUUUUUUAAAACUGAAAAAAAUAGUGGCAAAAACAUCAACAUAAUUU